Gigantopelta aegis is the source of this 588-nucleotide long non-coding RNA. RefSeq lists it as uncharacterized. The transcript has 3 exons. Lineage: Eukaryota; Metazoa; Mollusca; Gastropoda; Neomphalida; Peltospiridae. The record is from RefSeq and is a predicted model, not a curated record.
GCGUGGGAGAAGAAAAAUUGGCGCAGUUUUCAUUCAGUUUUCAGAGGAUUAACACCGACGUCUGUGUUGUGCUUUUCUUUUUCAGUGCAGCAACACAGAGACAUUUUGUCCGAUUAAUUCUGGAUUUUUGUGAAUAUUCCUUUGAAUAUCAGGUAUACGCCAUUUACGACUCUGUAAGAACACACCGCCUGCGUCUGGUCUACGACAAUCCCGCUUGGCUUCCGGCAACCUGCAGCAUGUCACAGAGUUUAUGGGAACCAGGGUUAAGAGAAGAAAUGCUCCCUAGUGACCCUGGCGUUAAGAAACGAUUACAGUUGUCGUGAAGUCGUGUCUCAUACUAUAAACUGAGCAUUCGCCUGAAGUGUUAUCAGUUAGAUAUCGGACUUGACUAAGUUCUACAGACAUGCACGUCCUCGCUUUUACCGUUCUCGUCGUGCUUUUCCCAGCAGUAUUUUGCGUCGACUGCUCAACUCGUCCCGACGGAGCUUACGAUCGCGGUUGUCGUGAGUUCAUUCACUGUCUGGACCACGUGGCCAACGUGAUAACAUGUCAACACAAGCUGGUCUUCAACAGCAACACGGGCAGGUG